Molecule: ribosomal RNA, 1205 nt
Filed under: metagenome
Description: bacterial LSU rRNA
Rfam family: Bacterial large subunit ribosomal RNA
Source: RNAcentral
UUGGUAGAGAAUACCAAGGCGCUUGAGAGAACUCAGGAGAAGGAACUCGGCAAAUUGAUACCGUAACUUCGGGAGAAGGUAUGCCCCUGGUACGUGAAGGCCCUCGCGGCCGGAGCGGAACGGGGUCGCAGAGAAUCGGUGGCUGCGACUGUUUAUUAAAAACACAGCACUCUGCAAACACGAAAGUGGACGUAUAGGGUGUGACGCCUGCCCGGUGCCGGAAGGUUAAGUGAUGGGGUGCAAGCUCUUGAUCGAAGCCCCGGUAAACGGCGGCCGUAACAAUAACGGUCCUAAGGUAGCGAAAUUCCUUGUCGGGUAAGUUCCGACCUGCACGAAUGGCGUAACGAUGGCCACACUGUCUCCUCCUGAGACUCAGCGAAGUUGAAAUGUUUGUGAAGAUGCAAUCUCCCCGCGGCUAGACGGAAAGACCCCAUGAACCUUUACUGUAGCUUUGCAUUGGACUUUGACGGGACUUGUGUAGGAUAGGUGGGAGGCUAUGAAACCGGGACGCCAGUUCCGGCGGAGCCACCCUUGAAAUACCACCCUGGUGUCGUCGAGGUUCUAACCCAGGCCUGUGAAUCCAGGUCGGGGACCGUGCAUGGUGGGCAGUUUGACUGGGGCGGUCUCCUCCCAAAAGGUAACGGAGGAGUACGAAGGUCACCUAGGUACGGUCGGACAUCGUACUGAUAGUGCAAUGGCAAAAGGUGGCUUGACUGCGAGACCCACAAGUCGAGCAGGUGCGAAAGCAGGUCAUAGUGAUCCGGUGGUUCUGUAUGGAAGGGCCAUCGCUCAACGGAUAAAAGGUACUCUGGGGAUAACAGGCUGAUUCCGCCCAAGAGUUCACAUCGACGGCGGAGUUUGGCACCUCGAUGUCGGCUCAUCACAUCCUGGGGCUGUAGCCGGUCCCAAGGGUAUGGCUGUUCGCCAUUUAAAGUGGUACGUGAGCUGGGUUUAAACGUCGUGAGACAGUUUGGUCCCUAUCUGCCGUGGGCGCUGGAAGUUUGAGAGGGCCUGCUCCUAGUACGAGAGGACCGGAGUGGACGCACCCCUGGUGUACCGGUUGUGACGCCAGUCGCAUCGCCGGGUAGCUAUGUGCGGAAGAGAUAACCGCUGAAAGCAUCUAAGCGGGAAACUCGCCUCAAGAUGAGACUUCCCCGGGGCCUCGAGCCCCCUGAAGGGUCGUUGAAGACCACAACGUUGAUAGG